UUGACUGGUGAUGGCACCUGCGAUGGAGGAGAUGACACGACAGAGGAAGGGAGCGAUGCCUGAAACUGAAGGGCCAUUUUUGCUGUGCUGUCAGGUGAAGCAUGACAUCCUUCCUGUUAAGACAAUUUAGAAGCACUUGCUUCUCCGGCUACGAUAACAUCGUUGUUCUCUGUAACAACCCCGGUACACACGCUUCCUAAGCCCUCU
Molecule: long non-coding RNA, 207 nt
Organism: Tachyglossus aculeatus (Australian echidna)
Lineage: Eukaryota; Metazoa; Chordata; Mammalia; Monotremata; Tachyglossidae
Exons: 3
Source: RefSeq, a predicted model, not a curated record